Molecule: long non-coding RNA, 6070 nt
Organism: Falco peregrinus (peregrine falcon)
Lineage: Eukaryota; Metazoa; Chordata; Aves; Falconiformes; Falconidae
Exons: 4
Source: RefSeq, a predicted model, not a curated record
UGGCCCCAGGGUGAGAGCUUUCAGACCCCCUCUCUGCCUGCUGCUGUGGCAUCCAAGGUCAUCUACCAUUAAAGAGGAUGCUUAAGCCUUGGUAAGUGGAGGAAGACUGCCUAAAGGAAGUCUGAAGUGGAAUUGCAAUGGCUUAGAACAAAAUUGCCAUCCAAAAAGUCCCUGUUCUUAAAGACAGCUGCCUCUGUUGUUUGGCGAGGCAUUUCCAGUGUGUAUCAAGUGCUGCUCCCUCAGGUGUCCAUCUCUGAGGCGCGUCAUGCAGUCCCUUCUGUGUGCAGCCAGCAGCUGCUCCUUCCCUAACUUAAUAGCCCCCCAAUAAGAGACACAGGUUCAGUUCCAUCUUCAGCCCAAGGAGGCUUACUGUCUGUUUCCUGUUUUCCCAGGGAAUGCUCCGAGCACCAAAGCGUGGAGAGCGGGAAGGCAUUGUCCCACCUUCUGGCUGAAAGCUGGAUCCAAGAGCUGAAAACAAAAUUAAGUCCAAGAAUUUUAUAGAAGAGGAAGGAACUGGGAAACAAAGGACUUUGUCCCUGAGUGCAACACCAGAGCUGGAGACUGAAGCUUACUGGAAGCACAGAAACAGAGCAGCAAAGCUGACCUCCUGCAAAAGGUUCUCCUGCUUCCCUGCCCACAGCUGCUCCCAGAACCCACCGCCUCCUGCAGCCCCAGUGCCCAGCUCACACAUGAGGACCAGUGUGAGCUUGGUUCCUGCCUGUAUCAGUAUGUUGUUUGUGGCCCACCAAGGUUUCACACACAUUGGUUGAGUACUACACCCAAACCAAACCAAGACAACUGAGACAAGAAGCUUGCAUCCAUUCUUGAAUCACUGUACCUCCAUCAGAAAACAGAAAGCAUUUUUGUUCCCCUUGCCGAUACAGCAGGCUGGUCCUUUCCAGUCAUGCUCUUUGCUGCUCUGUGCAUACUGUGAAAGAAAUUCAGAGUGAAGUUUCAUGUUGAGUAUUUGAAACCAGCAACCCAGAUGUGAUUUCGAAGACCACUGGCAGUCUUUGCUCAUUAAUCUUGCUGAAUCAUAGAAUCGUUUAAGUUGGAAAAGACCUUUCAGAUCAUCGAGUACAACCAUUCACCUAACACUGCCAAGUCCACCACUAAACCAUGUCCCAUUAGUUCAUAGGAAAGUCAUGGCUGAUUUGCUUUAGUGCAUUCCACAGAUCAGUAUCUCUUCAAGACAAAACUGGUUUAUUUUCCAUGGUUCCAAAAACCAAAGUCCAGAUGUACAGCCAGCAACAGCUGCUCGUAGCAGAAAUGAACCAGUGAUACAUAUGGGAAACAUAAGACCUUCCUAAACACACAGUGGUCCUAGAUUUUGGGGAGGGUGGUAUUGCUUGUUUGGGUUGGCUUGCCUGAAAGAAUGCACAAUCUGCCAGCAUAACAAAGAUUCAUCAUCCUGAUUAGGCAAGAUUUCCUAGCACCAUCUCCACAGCCUCUUCAUUCCUACUAAUCGAGCAUCUGGAACACAGGCUGCCAAAAAAACGCUGACCUAUCAGAUUCCAAAACAGAUUUUAGGAGACUUAUCUACUGUCUUAAACAGAUCUUCUGAUAAAGCUCCCACUCUACAGCAGCAGGUUUGUUGUAAAUUCCCACAGAGGUUCAUUUUAUAAUGGAGGCAUAUUAUUUUAUUAAAAUCAAAUUAUCACAGAACACUUUAAAAACGUGAAUUAAAUUACUAAGCACGCCUGCACUGAAGGUAAGCUUUAUUACUCGAGAAGUGAAGAUCUGUUACAGUUGAGUAAGGCCUAAGACUGAUCCUUGCAAGGAUGAACAUUGCACCUGGAAAAGACUGUGCCAGUUGAGGGAAGUGAUGACAAAAAUAUUUUUUAGGUGGGUUGAUGGAGAAUUCAGUACCUUGCCUGAGCACUGGGUUGAGCAACGUUGUGUUUAGCCAUCACUUUAGGUAUCCUUACUGCCUGCCUUCUUGUUUUCAAUCACAGAUUACACACUCCACCUGCUUCUCCAAAUUAUAUCUGAUGCCAGGAGUAAGCCAGAUCAGCUUUGAUGAUCCUCAUGCACUUAAGCAGCAGGUUGAUUUUUUCAUGUAGCAUUAUUUUUUGAUUCAAGUUUCAGUAUCAUUACAGGGUUGUCAAUACCUGUCAAUACUAGAACCACUGUACUGAAAACAGUCUUCUGAAAAUCAGCACAGCAGAAUCAGGCCUUUGGGUAUAAACCUUUCAGAUCUACCACCUUGUCUUGCACAUCACACUAUUUGUACGAUGAAAUAGUGCAUUUUAUUGUCAGGCAAGGAAUCCUAUAACCAAACUAGUUCGCAGUCUGAGAGAGAAGAGGUAAUGCAGGUCAUUGGCAAUGGUGCACACUGCCCGCUUCGCUGUCAUCACCAUAAAAUUCUGACAUACAUAAACGUUGAUAUAAAACCUCCCUGUCAUGGCAGCCACAAGCCAGCCACAGCUUCUAACCUCAGUGCUAUGAUGAUGUCCAAAGGCAGCUGAGAAGCGGCAACACCUGCACACAUUGCAGAGUACAAACACCUUCCCAGCUUUGCCAGCUUUGCUCCUCUGACAGGGUGCUGCAGCAGGGAUGGAGGAGCCUGGGGGCAUCUCUCUGCUGUCUCCUGGCUCAAAUGCCCAUUUGAGCUGCAGCCUCUCUGUGGAAGAGUUUCCUAUCAAAGUUGUGGGUUUAUUUCAGAAGCACAAGGGCUUCAUACUGUUAUUCAUACCACAGUAAAUAAAAUACAAAGCACUGUGAAUUCAUGUCUGAACUACCUACCAGUCAUUCUUGGUCAGCAGUCGGGAGAUGACAUCUCUUGCUUUGAUGGGUCUCUGAUUUUACUCUCAGAUCUCACUUGCCAUUUCAAACAUCCCUGUUCCCUGUGGUUAUGCUUGUUUUCCACCCAACCUUUUAUUUUAAGUACAGGCAGCUAAAAUGUAUGUUCAUGCUGUUGGAAUUAUUAGUGAUUCCUGGUCUUCAAACACUGAAAAAGUUAUAUUAUUGCAGCCCUGAACACUGCUGCAUAUUUUCACAUUUUACGUGCAUUUUUUUUCUGAAGUAUGAGUUGUUGCAAGUAUUUGUCAUUAGACAUACGCAAUAUCCACAUGUAUUUAGAUUUGCUCUAUGGAUAUUUGCAUAGCUAUAAACAAUGAGUACCAUUUAGGGUGGCAGAAUCAUAUCAUUCAUUACAUAUGACCAUUUCAUAUUUUUUAAAUCUCUGAACAUAACUCUGUUUCCUGGCUUAUAAUAAAAAGUUAUAAUGAAAAUGCAUCCUCAAAAGCAUCAUAUUUGUUAUACAUCAUUCUUUCUUUAUAAAAGUUUCAGUCAAGCAGAAACACUGAACACACUGGAUACUACAUGGUUUAUAGGGAUGAUAGCAAAUGGUUAAUAAUAACUGCUUGUUAUUCAGCUGUACAUCAACAUUACUUCCAUAUACUAUCAGGCAACUACCUAAAAAUAAUUUUACCUGUCAAAAUCAGAUUACUAACAAAUAGGGGAAAGUACUCAAAAAGACAUUGUGAAAUAUUCAAAAAAGUAAUUUUACUAGUUCCAUGCUAACAUCAUAACUGAGACAAAGUUGAAUCAAUCUACUUUUCCAAUGUAAUGUGCUAUUUAUAUAAGGGGGCAUUGAAAUAAAAGACAAUGGAGAAAAACACUGGAUAUCUGCAGAGGUGGAUAUACUACUUUGUAGCCCUCCAUCAGCUUACUUGAAAGCAGGGAUGAGGAAAUAAAUGUGAAAAAAACCCCAAUAUGAAUAGUUUGUUGGUUUAUAUCCCUUUUAUUAGACAUAUAAUUAAUUGUAUUAGCUAAAUUGCUAGUGAGCUGUGCUCAGGCUUUGCCAAGGGGAACAGCUCCUUGCUGAGGCUCCUGUCCCACUGGCCAUCAGCCCUGCUCUGCAGAAGAGCGGUGCAGAUUCAGAAGAGGACAACUGUGGAGUCUGAAAUCACUUCUGAAAGUGAUGUAGCUGCUAUAGUUAGAGAAAAAUCAAAGUCACCUCUUGCUUAAGCUAAAAAUGUCCACCCUGUAGUCCUUUUAAACUGGGAGAGCAGCUGCCCCCACCGCUUCCAACUUUUUGUGCUGCAGGGGCCAUCCUGCCUGGGUGCUGAUCUCCUAACCCAGAGCGCUAACCACCUAGGCUGCAUUUUAUUCUCAUGCACCACCCUAAGCCCAGGCUUCAGGCACGUCAGGCUCAGCCGACUGGCAGGCUGGUGACUGCAGCUCUCAUAGCUGGGCUGAAAGGCCUUAGGAGUUGAGGAGCGAUGGACCUCGACAAAACUCUUUUGUCUUGUUUGGUUCCUCAUCCUCUCCCUCGUCUUUGUUGAUGGAGCUCCCACGUGGGUGGGAUCUGAGGGCAGUGCCCUGCCCUGUCAGCCCAGGUGAUUUGUCUGGGGGUGACAGGGAUGGGGCUCCAUGCCUCAUCCCUCCUGCAGGAUUCAUCCUCCCCUUUUGUGCCUCCCCAGAAACUCAAACAGCAAAGCGUGCUCACAGGUGUUGGCCUGGCUGGAGCCGCAUGGCUCACCUUGUGUCACCCCACGCCUGCAGCACACUAUCUGGACAUACCCCAGCACUGCAGUGGGGGCACCCAAAAUUGCAUUCACUGCAUUCACUGCAUACAACUGUACCCUCCCUGCCUCAGUUUCCCCACCGUUUAAAAUGGUGUUACUAACUCGCACAAUGGGCCAUUAUAGUUAAUGAGCAAACAUCUCUGAUGUGCUCUGCAAAGAAAAGGCGCUGCAUGCUCUUAGAGCUGAGUAUACUCAUAUCUUAGAACAAAGCUGUUAUAAGAACACAGAACUUGUGCCAUGUACAGUAGACAUUUCUAGCAUAGCUUUUAUUGAGGUUAAUAUAAUAUUCAUAACACUGCUAAAGGACUAUUUGUUGGACUAAAGGAUUUUGCUACUGGCAUUUAUCUAUAGAAAAGUUUUUCUGUUUUAUGCCCACAUACUAGCAUAUAAUUAUAGUAAUAAAGUCUAGUCCCUUCCUUGAAGUGACUGCUGCCAGUAUUAUGAAAUCAUGGCAAUAGCUGUAAAAAUAAAAGAGGUCACAACCCCUACACACACACACACACCCACUCUGUAGCUAAUAUCAAAUAGCUUUGGUGGGAAAAUGCAGACCUUUAAACUUUCUCUACCAAACUCAAUGCAUUCUGUAUUUAACUUAUCCUCUAAAACAGUUUGUGUUAUAGGAAUUUGAAAACUGCAUAUAACCAUGGAAAAAGUCUGUACUUAAUUAGCUACUGAGUCCAGCUUGAUUUAACCAAAAUAACAACCAUUUCUUUGUGCUAACUAUUUUUAAUGAUAUGCAUUACAUGCAUCAGCCUGUCCUUAUGCCAAGGCUCUUCGAGCAUCAACUCCUGCUUCAUUGUUCUAGUUUUGGCACAAUGAAGUAUCAGGAAAUGUCUGCACAGAGGUGCUUUUUCAUGUCCAGCAGGGCAAGAACAUUUCAUUCUCAGGAACAAAGCCAAUUAUCUCGAAAUUGUAGUGGCAUCAAGCACAAUACAUUACAAGCUCUCAGGUGCCUCCUGGGAAGGCAGCACAGGGAGCUGGAGAAAUGGCAAAGGCAGGUAGGAAAGGCUGCUAUCUGUGUUCUUUGUGAGACUUUUCUAGGGUCUUCUACAGCAAAUACCCCUUCUUCGCCAUUAUAUAUAAGCAGCAGAAAAAAAGUGUUAGGGGAUUUGUGUUAGUUGCGCGAGAAGGAAAAGCAGAGCGAGUACAACCUGAGCCCCACGUGUCACAGCAAAACAUAGAAGGCAGCACCCACAUGCAGCACCCAGGACGAAGUGAGUCUGGCUUUAGCUGCUGAGCAUCUUCAGAUGUAAACCUGCACAUAGAGGUUUUUAGUGCCUUCCUUUUAGGAUGCUUACACUGAAGCCCUGGUUUCACAAAGUGUUCGAGCUGCCCUGCUGAAGGAGCUUGAACUUCUUCAGGUGUUCAGAGCAAAUCUCCAAAAGUCAUGCCCUGCAUGUGAGUGCAUUUGACAUCACUCAUUACUCAAAAAAUUGCAGCUUCAGAUUUGGCUGUGGCCAAAGGAAGACAGAAUUGAAAGUACAGUCAGAAAGUAAGAACAGAAAUUACAGAUAAAUCAAAAGCAUAAGACUGCUGCA